UGCUUUCUUCAGAUUUAUAUGAAAAUUGGCUUAGUGUCCUUGAUGAAGAAUCUCUGCUUGGAAAAAUUUCUGCUAUACAAAGCCGCUCAUGUGCUGUUGGAUCCGACUUACAGAAGCACAUUAUUUGGAAGGGAGCUCCCAAAAAAGAAAUUAGAUCUAAGUCAUCAUUGUGUUGAAAGACAUCCAGAAGAUUGCUCAUAUACAAUAUUGAGCAUUUGCCAUAGGUGAAAUCAAGCAUCAGAGGCAAGACAGCAGUUCCCUACAGGACUCUGCUCUUCUCCGCUUCUUUGUCCUGAGGACACAUCUGUUUCAGCCAAGGUGGCCCUAGAUACCAGAAAUCAUAGGGAAAAGAACGUGGAAGAUAUGCUAAGUCCUUGUUUUGUCCACGUCCUGCUUAGAAGACAAUGUCCAUCUGUUCUACCCGAGGAAUCUUCUGCAGUCCUGAUGAAUCUUCUGGAGUCCUGGAUCAAAAAUUAAAUAAUAUACUUACGUGUGAAAUGUAUGUUUUGAAAAGUAUGGACCAACUAGGGACACCAUAAAGGGGGGAAAUUGGAGUUGGCAACCUGUAUACAACCAGACCAAACUGGAUUCUUGUAAUGCAAAUAUUCUGGUUAAUUAUUUAUCCUGUGAAUUAGGAAACAUUAAGUUGCCCCACAAUUUCUGUAGCUAUCUGUCUGAGAAUACAAUCCCAAAUUGUAGUUCUUACCAAAAGGUGGCCAAAAAACUUUUCCAGUGGGCCAAAACAGGGCAAAUGUCUUGCAAGUACAGUUUUCAUUUAUCCUGACCAGGUUGACUAUAUCCACAUCAUCCACGGCACACACACAGGUAAUUCAGUGGGAUUAUAUGUUUGAUCUUAAACUUUCUCUUAUUCCUAGAAAGAGAAUCAAGUAUCUCUGUUAGUUUGAUUUGCAUUGUAGUGGGAAUUAAUUUUAGAAAUACCCAGGUUCUUUCUGCCCCAGAGCAGAGGAGGACCUCUCCAUUUUUUUUUUUUUCA
This is a long non-coding RNA of Apodemus sylvaticus (European woodmouse), 994 nucleotides long. RefSeq lists it as uncharacterized. The transcript has 4 exons. The record is from RefSeq and is a predicted model, not a curated record. NCBI's taxonomy places the organism in Eukaryota, Metazoa, Chordata, Mammalia, Rodentia, Muridae.